RNAcentral lists this long non-coding RNA (642 nucleotides) under Lactuca sativa (garden lettuce). RNAcentral describes it as "long non-coding RNA (LSAT_LNC004763)". The record is from RNAcentral. Lineage: Eukaryota; Viridiplantae; Streptophyta; Magnoliopsida; Asterales; Asteraceae.
UCAUCUUUGCUCUCCUCAAAAUCAACCACUGUGGUAACAUGUUGACCAAUUGUUGACUCUUGUAUAUCCUCACACGUUGCAUCUUCUGAACUUGUAACGGCAUCCCCACCACCUUGGACUUCUUCUGGCAUUUUGAGUUCAUGUUCCUUUUCUUGAUUUUCCUCUUUGCUCACUAUCUCAUUCUCAUUCAAUUCAGGUUUAGCCUUCUCUGAUCCUGUCACUUCACACACCUCCUUAACCAAUGGGCUUUCAAACUCAUCAUUGACUAUAGCAUCUUCCUCAAUCUUUUCUUCAUUUUCCAUAGUUUCUUUUUUAGGUUCUAUUUCUGUUGAGCUGCAAACAUCAGUAGUAAUGACAUGCAGCAACCCUUGUUGCUCCAUAUUUUCUUUUGUUUCUAUACUAGAUUCGAUUUCUUCAAUGUUUUCCUCUACACUUUCUCUCGUUUCAACAACUUCAGGUUCUUUACCUUCUUCUUGGUAGUUCUUUUCUUGCAAGUCUUCUUCUAAGGCUGCAACCUGUGAGCUUGUUACAUUAUCCUCGCCUUGACCUUCUGUUGACAUGUCAACCUGAUCCUUUUCUUGUUCUUCAUCCUUGAAAGUUUCAAUAGCUUUUACCUCUUGUUCAGAUUCAACCUUUUUUGAG